RNAcentral lists this long non-coding RNA (745 nucleotides) under Capra hircus (goat). RNAcentral's name for it is "lncRNA (ENSCHIG00010015901.1)". Lineage: Eukaryota; Metazoa; Chordata; Mammalia; Artiodactyla; Bovidae. The record is from RNAcentral.
CUUAGAAAAGGAUCAGACUGUUACUGUAUUAUGUUUUGAUUCUCUCAUUAGCCAGUUGUGUAUCUGUGGGCCCAAUUGCUAAAUCCUAGGUAAUGCCAUUUACUGGAAGUUGUUUUUUUUUUUUUUUUAAUGACAGCAAAUGUAAGAUAUACUUAAAGCUUGUUAUAGAAUAUAGUGGUCUUAAAAGAUAGUGGUCUGCUCGCCUCUUUCUCAGAUUCUCCAAUAUAUAAAUAAUUGAUAUUGGAAAGUAUUGUGAUUCUUUUAACUCUGUUAACAUUUCUUUUUAAUUUUAAAUACACAAAAUUAAAAUUUUAUAAUGCUNNNCUGUCCCUUCCCUUUGUCUUCUAACCCACAAAUGACAUUAUUUUCUUAGGAGAAGCUUCUUUCUUGUCUCUCUUCCUGAGAUGUCUUCAACAAACCACUGAUGAUGGACAAAUACAAAACCAAACUCUCUUUCCCUAUACCUGUGGUCCUCAACUGCAGAACUGUUGGCAUGCAAGGUCAGGUCCUUCAGUCCUUCAGACCCGUCUUUGCCCUCCAUUCCCUGAUAUUCCACUUCCUUCUUUGUAAGUGACCUCCAUCAGCCAGAUGCCCAUCCAAAGGAAAACUGCCAAGCAAAAGAACUUCUUGCAAAACUCCUCAUAAAUUCUUAAAAGUCUCCUCCUAGUCAGGAGGUCUACCUAAAACAACAAUAAAAAAAGAUGGUAACAAUAACCCUGUAUGCGAGACAGCAAAAGAGACACAG